CCCUUAGAUGUUCUGGGCUGCACACGUGCUACACUGGCAGGUUCAGCGAGCUUCAUGCCCUGAUCUGAAAGGAAUGGGAAAUCUUUUCAAAACCUGCCGUGCUUGGGAUAGAUGUUUGCAAUUAUUCAUCUUCAACGAGGAUUGCCUUGUAAGCGCAUGUCAUCAGCGUGCAUUGAAUACGACCCUGUAUUCUGUACACACCGCCCGUCGCUCCUACCGAUUGAAGUUUUCGGUGAGUUGACAGGAGGAUUUUUUUGAAACUGGUUCGCCAGUGGAUUUUAGAUCCAAAUGCCAACGAAUCGAUGGCUUUAGAGGAAGGAGAAGUCGUAACA
Molecule: ribosomal RNA, 332 nt
Filed under: uncultured eukaryote
Lineage: Eukaryota
Description: partial 18S ribosomal RNA
Rfam family: Eukaryotic small subunit ribosomal RNA
Source: RNAcentral